GUGAGGAAUAUUGGACAAUGGAGGAAACUCUGAUCCAGCCAUGCCGCGUGAGUGAUGAAGGCCUUCGGGUUGUAAAGCUCUUUCGGGUGUGAAAAUGAUGAUGGUAACACCAGAAGAAGCCCCGGCUAACUCCGUGCCAGCAGCCGCGGUAAUACGGAGGGGGCGAGCGUGGUUCGGAAUCACUGGGCGUAAAGCGUGCGUAGGCGGUUAUACAAAUCAGGAGUGAAAUCCCAGGGCUCACACUUGGAAUUGCUUUUGAGACUGUAUGACUAGAGAUCUAGAGAGUUUGGGGGAAUUCCGAGGGUAGAGGUGAAAUUCGCAGAUAUUCGGAGGAACACCAGUGGCGUAGGCGCCCGACUGGCUAGAUACUGACGCUGAGGCACGAAAGCGUGGGGAGCAAACAGGAUUAGAUACCCUGGUAGUCC
This 425-nucleotide ribosomal RNA is filed under the name uncultured bacterium. Its description in RNAcentral is "partial 16S ribosomal RNA". It matches the Rfam family "Bacterial small subunit ribosomal RNA", at positions 354 to 796 of the family's 1533-position model. The record is from RNAcentral.